AAUAUGGUAACCACUAGCCACUUGUGACUACUGAGUGUCUGAAAGGUUCUGCUUGAAUUCUUGCCCUGGCUCUUGGUGAAGGAUCGGCCUGCUGGAUCUGAGUCAUCCACCUAUAAGAGGGACAACACCACACAUUGGUCGCUGCUCUCAAGCCCCUGGAAUACCACCCCACUUGGCUUCUCCUGGUAACAGUGGCUGCCUUUGCUUGCCUGUCUCCAACUCCUCCCAAGAGCAUUGCUGACUAUACCACCCACAUAAACAAAAACUUUUUGGGAGUCCUCCAGAAUUUUUAAGAGUUAUCUAAACUAUUGCCUUUAAUGACCAGGAACUCCAAUUUGAGAAGUUACCCUACGUUAAGCCAACAGCAGCCUGGCUCCUUCAUCCUGUGCAGUAUGGGACAGAGCUGGGUCCUUGUUGUCAUCAGCCAGACAAGCACACAUUAAAGCCCACCUUAGCCAUUGGCAUUACAGCUUUAAAAGCAGCUCCAUCCUACCAUGCUGUCACUCUACUCAAUCACGUGAUCUUAACGACCAGCUCUACAUAUCCUCUCUCCAUGCCCCCACCACCAUCCCCCACCAACAAAUCCGAUUCUGCUAUCAGCUACAGGUCUGGGUUUGUGUCUCCGACAAAGAACCACCUCAAAGCCCCACAGAAAAGGACUGUACCGUAUACUUCAAACUAUUGACACCUCAAAGAACAGAGCUUGGGUUCAGGCUUCUGAUGCAUUCUGAGACACUCUCAGACCAUACCAGUGGGCUGGGUCAGGAUUUACAGAACUAUUUUCAUUUCAAGAGCAUACGGGCUCAUGAGAUUGCUAACUCAAGAUCCGGUGGAACAGAAAUACUUAUAUCGG
This 853-nucleotide long non-coding RNA is filed under the name Homo sapiens (human). RNAcentral's name for it is "HSALNT0316854". The record is from RNAcentral. Lineage: Eukaryota; Metazoa; Chordata; Mammalia; Primates; Hominidae.